Molecule: unclassified non-coding RNA, 590 nt
Filed under: Inocybaceae sp. 36124 CG-2012
Lineage: Eukaryota; Fungi; Basidiomycota; Agaricomycetes; Agaricales; Inocybaceae
Description: sequence contains ITS1, 5.8S rRNA gene, ITS2
Rfam family: 5.8S ribosomal RNA (bases 241-394)
Source: RNAcentral
UAUCGAAUAAACUUGAACAGGCUGUUGCUGGCCCCUAGGGGAAUGUGCACGCUUGUCAUUUUUAUCUUCUCCACCUUGUGCACACAUUGUAGAUCUUGGAACUUUGAUUGUUUGUUAUAACAGAUUAGAGAACUGCUGUGCUUCUUUGAAGUCAGCUUUUGUCUGGCAUUUUUCAAGGUCUAUGUUUAUUUUUCACAAAACCUGUCAGAAUGUGUUGGAAUGUACAUAUAUAAAAUAUACAACUUUCAGCAACGGAUCUCUUGGCUCUCGCAUCGAUGAAGAACGCAGCGAAAUGCGAUAAGUAAUGUGAAUUGCAGAAUUCAGUGAAUCAUCGAAUCUUUGAACGCAUCUUGCGCUCCUUGGUAUUCUGAGGAGCAUGCCUGUUUGAGUGUCAUUAAAUUCUCAACCACAUAGAAAUGUGGCUUUGGAUGUUGGGGGUUUUAUUUGCUGGUCCUUUAGAAAUGAAGUUCAGCUCCCCUGAAAUGAAUUAGUGGUGGUAAAUCAAAGUCUUCUACCACAGGUGUGAUAAUUAUCUACGCCUUGGUGUAAAAAAGACACUGCUUCUAACUAAUAUUGACAAACUUGACCUC